Molecule: long non-coding RNA, 1193 nt
Organism: Lepus europaeus (European hare)
Lineage: Eukaryota; Metazoa; Chordata; Mammalia; Lagomorpha; Leporidae
Exons: 3
Source: RefSeq, a predicted model, not a curated record
GAGUUUCUUUGCAACAGACGGGACAAUAAUCUCCUCUCCCAGUCAAUCGUCUAAUCACACAUCAGUCAUCGUCGUCAUUUAAAACCUGAACCGGCAUCUAUAGCCCGUUCCCGGCCCAGGUGUGAACCCCAGGAACGGCUGGGGGAAGUAUGCGAGCUUCCCAGCGCUCAUCUAUGUCCCGAUUAAAUGCACUCCGAGGAUGGGAUGGGAGAAAGAAGGGCAGCGAGCACCCUCUCUCCUGGGGUGGAGGUAGUCUUCAAACACAGGUUAUUAGCAGGAGCCAGUGGGAGUGCUUUUGGGAAACCAUGGGGAUCUGAACACAGACAUCAGAUCAGAGGGGGAAUUACAGUAAAAGCGGUUUAUCUUUUUGGCAUCCUGACAACCAGCCCUGGGGUGCAGGACCCGAGAAAUGAUAAUGGAUGCUGCCGCUGCUGACACAGGUCCCCGGAUGCUGCAGGCUUCUGACUCAUCUCUGAAAAUUGAAGUGACCUCCUGCAGCUGUAGCCUGGAGUAUUUCUUACCAAAACCCAGCCUUUGAAAAUCGGCUGUGUGCCUACCUGGAUACUUUGCUCCAGCGAGGAUUUGAUUAUCCGGGACAUUCAUUCUGGCUUAGAACGGAUGACUACAAGAGAAAAUCAAGGGGACUCUUCUUGCUCUCCGUGUGUUUUGUCCUUGUGCACUGUACUAUCCCAUUUGCUGUCACUAUAAUGAAAUACCCGAGGCCAGGUGGUUUAUAAAGAACAGGGGGUUACAUAGCUCACAGUGUGGGUGGCAGAAGGUCCAGAUUCAUGGCCCCGGCUCUGUUGGGCUCUGUUGAGGGGCUCCUGGGCUGUGUCACAUCAAAAUGAAUGGCAUUAGGGCUGGUGCUGUGUCAUAGUGGGUCAAGCCUCAAUCUGCGGUGCCCAGCAUCCUCUAUGGGCGCCAGCUUGUAUCCCAGCUGCUCCUCUUCUGAUCCAGCUUCCUGCUAUGGCCUGGGAGAGCAGUAUAAGAUGGCCCAACUCCUUGGGCCCUUGCACCUGUGUGGAAGACCCAGAAGAAGCUCCUGGCUCCUGGCUUUGGAUUGGCCCAGUUCUGGCCAUUGUGGCCAUUUGAAGAGUGAACCAGCAGAUGAAAGACUUUUCUCUCUGUCCCUCUGUCUGUAACUCUACCUCUCAAACAAAUAAAAAAUCUUUAAAAAAAAUGAAUGGCGUAAA